UAUUGUCUCAGGCCUAAUCUUUAGGUCUUUGAUCCAUUUUGAGUUAAGGCAGGGAUACUUUUUAAAAGCAUCCAGAUGAUUCUACCGCAGCCAGGUUGAAAACUCCAAUAUAUAAGACAGUCUCCAAGCUUAACUACACUACCCAAGGUCAGCUGCUAGUAAAUGGUGGAGCUGGGCUCUGAAUUCAAAUCCGUAUGGGUCCAGAGUUUGGUUCAAUCAUCACCAUCACUUUGACCACUACUUCUACCAUUUCCACUCCAACAUCUCCUUACAUUUGAAGGAGUUUUACAACUUACACAGCAUAUUCAAAGACAUAGGAAAAUAAAGGUUCUCCAGGAAGCAUAUCUUACGAAAACUAUUGCUUUCAAGAAAUAUUUCAUGACUUCUUAAAUAAAGUCUUCUUCCUUUCCUCCUCUUCCUUUUUCUUUUUAAAGGUUUGGCCUCUAGAAAGUAUUCCCAGUAUAAUGGCAAAACAUUCAGUUUGCCUAUGAGCUUAUAAAUCGAAGUGGUUCUUCGGGGCAAACAAAAAAUCUUUUCAUCUAAAAUCUUAAUUGAGACCAAUUCAGUGCCCUGGGAAUGAGUUCCAGUGUUUAGCUCAGGUUUCUGGCACUGAGCACUGGACCCUGGCCUCAAGCCUGAACUGGGUCACCUUACAGCUGCACCUCAGGGCUGCUUGCCAAGAAGCUAGGCUCAUGGCAGCACUACCCUAUGACUUAACCCCAGAACACUGAGCUUCGAUACCCAACCUGGCUGAAAGCAAUCCACAUGACUACAACUCCAUUUAGUAAACAACUUACAGGAACACCUCGUGUAGCAUUAUGGCACCCUCUGACAUUUCUGGGAGAAAAGAGAACUAAUUUUCAUUAAUUUGUCUAGGGGCAGAGAAGGGGGUUUCUCACAAUUUAAUGUACAGCCAGAAAGUCGUGGAUAACAUAGAAGGGGAAAUGUCUGUCACUUCAAUUUGUAGACAAGUUCGUAGCAACUCUUUCAAAAAGGGAGGAGACUAGAGACCAACGAUCCUGGCCAAGAGAGGUAUGUUUAAAAAUCUGGUCUUCCCACUAACCAGGUAGGUUUGGGCAGAUAACUUAAUCUCAUUGUGCCUCAGUCUCCUCAUAUAUAAGAUAAUGUUUGGGCUCAUUAAAUGAAAUCUAAAUCUCAGUCCUAAAAUUGUAUUAGAUGUAUGAACAUAUACUUACAGUUUUUUAAGAUUUUUUUAUUUUUAUUUUUUAUUUUUUUCCUUUUUCUCCCCAAAGUCCCCCAGUACAUAGUUGUAUAUUCUUUGUUGUGGGUCCUUCCAGUGUGGCAUGUGGGACGCCGCCUCAGUGUGGCUUCACGAGCAGUGCCAUGUCCGUGCCCAGGAUUCAAACCAACGAAACACUGGGACGCCUGGAGCAGAGUGCGCGAACUUAACCACUCGGCCACGGGGCCAGCCCCCAGUUUUCUAAUUUGGUGUAACCACUUGAAACUCAUCCUCUUACUAGAGAAAACCUGAAUUUUUAAAACUCUGAGGUUGACAUUAAAGAUGAAACUUAAGAACAAGGAAUUGUGGCGUUGUAGCUGUAAGAGGCUAUUUAGGUAAUGUAGUCCAGCUUCCUCAUUUUGUCUUCUCCCUCUUUGUCUUCUCUUUCCUUUCUUCCUUUAUCAAUAAAUAUCUUCUGAGUUCUGGUAUGCACCAGGCACUGGGCAAAGUGCUGGGGACCAAGACCGAGUCCUUGGCCUUAAAGAUCUUCUAGUACAGCAGACACAGACAAGUAAACAGGUGAUUAAAACACAAGGAAGUAAGUGCUACCAGAGAGGUGAGUAUAGGGUGCAAUGGAAGACAGAGGCCAGUCUCAGGGUAGGGUAGGGGUGGGAGUGAGGGAAGGGUUCCUGGAGAAAUGACAUCUAAGCUGAGGCCAGGAGAGGGGGCCACUUUUCUAGGCAGAAAAGCAGCAUGUCAAAGAGGGAGCUCUGGAAUGGUGGAGGGGAUUGCCCAAGGGCAUGCAAUCGUCCAGGGUAGAGCCGGUGGUGGAACUGAAGCUCAAGGCCCUAACUCCAAAAUCGAAGGCUUGGUUGAAUGUCAAUGACAGGAAGGAAGACUUUUUGGGUUGCUGCAAGGGAAACAUCACAGUCCGUGCCUUUGCUGCCACCAACCUUAUUAAGACUUGAGGCUCUUUCCUGGGCUCUCUAGGCUUAGGACCUCCCCUCACUGGCUCCAGUGUUUUUAGCAGUAACUCAUCGAUACAGCACAACCACAUCACAGGCCCAUCAUCUAGGAAGCACCACCACCUCAAGGAUAUUUCAGCUGCUGGGUGGUAUGGAUGCAUAAACAUCCUGGCUCUGACUGGUUUAGGAGAUGACACUUGGUUAACAAUGGCUCAGUUAUAGGCCAGUUAUAGUCAUGAUGAUUGUCUUCAAAUAUUUGAAGGGUUGUAGGAGUGAUUAGAUUUAUUCUAUGCGGGUUGAAGGGGAAGAAGAAGAACAAAAUGAAUGUAAAGGUAUAAGUAAUUAUGUCUUUCCUGAAUGAGAAGAAUGUGAGGCCAGUCGCAUGGGUAAGUAAUGAAUAUCCCUGUACUAAAAGUAUUUAGAACAACGGCAGAACGAUCACUUCACUGGGAUGUUACAAAGGGGUUCAGGCUUCUAAUAAGAUUUGGAUUGUAGGGCCAGCCUUGUGACUGAGUGGUUAAGUUCGCAUGCUCAGCUUUAGCAGCCUGGGGUUUGCCAGUUUGGAUCCUAGGUGCGGACCUACACAUUGCUCAUCAAGCUAUGCUGUGGCACCAUCCCACACAGAACUAGAAUGACUUACAACUAGGAUAUACAGCUACAUACUGGGGCUUUGGGGAGAAAAAAAAACGAGGAAGAUUGGCAACAGAUGUUAGCUCAGGGCCAAUCUUCCUCACCAAAAAAAAAAAAAAAAAAAAGGAGAGAGAGAUUUUUGUAUUAUAGAGGCGUAAUCAAAUCCUUCUAGCUCAGAGCUUCUGUGAUUCUAUAUUUUCACAGUUGGUCCAGGCCAACUGAGGUCUAAUUGUUCUAGUUUCUUAUCUAUUCUUCAAAGUAUUUACUCUCAGUUCUAGUUAAUAAGUAUUUGCAAGCACAUUAUUUUUACACUUCUAAGCAAAGAUACACUUAUUAUAUGUUGUGAUAUUUAAGAAGGCAAUUUAGUGGGGGUUUUUUUCCCAAUAAAGCAUGAAUACAGUUGUCGCUAGGUAGUGAAGCUGCCAUAUUUAUGUGAGAAAAUGGGCAGUUUGGCACGUGCACACACUACACCCACCUAUCAAGCCUGGCGUGUGUGUACCGCCUUAUUUUAGGUAUACUUUGCCUGCAUACUUAUAUGCUGUUCAUGCUAGGAUCCAUUCUCUUACAGACCCAAAAGAAAUUUUAUAAAUUCUUUCUUUCCUUUCUUUCACUUCUGUUUUUAUUGUGGAAACUGUGCUGCUGGUCCAUUAUUCUAAAGGUACGGAGAGAGAGAAGGGAGAGUACAGUCAGUGAAAACUGAAGAUACUACAGGCAGUCUGACAGGUGCAAUUUAGAUUUUGUUAACCCCACAUUAUUUUCAGAGAGCAGUGGUAAAAGGUGAUAUAUAUUGUUCUUUAAGGCAGACAAUUCUGUUGCCCACAUAGUAAAAGAAAACACAUAAUUUGUUGUUACCUGCUUUCUAAGCUUCUUGCAUGUAAUGUGUUAUAAAUCAAAUAUAUUAAAUAAUAUUUUAUUGUAAACUAGUAUUUGGAUAAUAUAUUACCUAAAGUCUAAAGUACGUAUAUUUUAAAGCAACAUAAUAGCUUCUUCAAAAAGAGAAAAAGAAUGCAAGCCCAUUUUCUAAGUGUUCAAAAUCAAACAACACUAAAAGAACCAGUCAGAAUGAGCUGGCCCUUCUCUAAAAGCCAUGGAACAUAAAUUACUUUAACAUAUUGUGCAAAGGCAUUGUCCUGCACUAGCUCCCAUAGUCUACCUUAGAGAGAAGCUUCUGCUCAGUCAUACAUUACAGAAGAAGAAGUGUUCCAUAGCUGCUGGUUGUUAGCAGUUUAUUGUGCACUGAGAGGAACGCUGGGAGCGGCUCGGACAGUCCCUCAGCAGUCCCGGCGCAGUUACGGGAAGGGCCUCUGGGAUAGCUGUUUACUGCGAACAGGAUGAAUAAAUCAAGAUAAGAAAGCCAAGGCCCAGAGAAAUUAAGUGAUUUCUCCAGGAUUCACAGGCAGAAUUUGGGAAGGCUUCCCUGAGGAAGUGAUCUUUGACCUGAAAUCUAAAGAGUGAAUGAAGUGGACAAAAAGAGGUGGACAGAGGAAGAGCAAACCAGGCAGAAAGAAUAUCACAUACAAAUACUCUUAUUUGGAGAAAAGGAACAUGGCAUGUACUAGCCCCCCGGUAUAUAGUUGUAUAUUCUUCGUUGUGGGUCCAUCUAGUUGUGGCAUGUGGGAUGCUGCCUCAGCGUGGUUUGAUGAGCAGUGCCAUGUCCGCACCCAGGAUUCGAACCAACGAAACACUGGGCCGCCUGCAGCGGAGCAUGUGAACUUAACCACUCGGCCACGGGGCCAGCCCCCAGUGGGAUACUUUUAAUAAUGUAAAAUUCCACGGGGCCAGCCCCCAGUGGGAUACUUUUAAUAAUGUAAAAUUUGAAACAUUCUGUUGUUGGCCAACAGUGGGAAAAUGGCAAACUAUUGUAUGUUCACAGCACAGCAUAAUCUGCAUCCAUUAAAAUAACGUAUAUGAAGAAUUUUAAUUUGCAUGGGAAAUGCCUCUGCUAUAAUGUAAAGUAAAAAAAAAAGGACAUUAUUUCCACUAUGUCAUAUAUUUAUAGAAAAAUUUUCUAGAAAAAAGUGGACUAAAAUGUUAAUCAUGACUGCCUCUGGGUGGGACUGAGUGUCCCAUAUUUUCUUUAUGGUUUUCCAUAUUUUCUAUGCUAUGCAUUUAAAACCUUUAAGAUUGAAAAAAUA
This is a long non-coding RNA of Equus asinus (donkey), 4910 nucleotides long. NCBI's taxonomy places the organism in Eukaryota, Metazoa, Chordata, Mammalia, Perissodactyla, Equidae. The record is from Ensembl.